Molecule: ribosomal RNA, 324 nt
Filed under: uncultured eukaryote
Lineage: Eukaryota
Description: partial 18S ribosomal RNA
Rfam family: Eukaryotic small subunit ribosomal RNA
Source: RNAcentral
CCCUUAGAUGUCCUGGGCUGCACGCGCGCUACACUGAUGUGUCCAGUAAGCACCUAACCUCUUCCGAAAGGAACGGGUAACCUUUGCAAAGCACAUCGUGAUGGGGAUAGAUUAUUGCAUUUAUUAGUCUUGAACGAGGAAUUCCUAGUAAGCACAAGUCAUCAGCUUGUGUUGAUUACGUCCCUGCCCUUUGUACACACCGCCCGUCGCUCCUACCGAUUGAAUGUUCCGGUGAGCUCUUCGGACUGCGCGGUCUGCAGUUUCUGCGUUCCGUGCGGAAAGUUGCGCAAACCUUAACAUUUAGAGGAAGGAGAAGUCGUAACA